RNAcentral lists this ribosomal RNA (465 nucleotides) under Vreelandella stevensii. RNAcentral describes it as "partial 16S ribosomal RNA". It matches the Rfam family "Bacterial small subunit ribosomal RNA", at positions 338 to 795 of the family's 1533-position model. The record is from RNAcentral. Lineage: Bacteria; Pseudomonadati; Pseudomonadota; Gammaproteobacteria; Oceanospirillales; Halomonadaceae.
CCUACGGGGAGCUGCAGUGGGGAAUAUUGGACAAUGGGCGAAAGCCUGAUCCAGCCAUGCCGCGUGUGUGAAGAAGGCCUUCGGGUUGUAAAGCACUUUCAGUGGGGAAGAAAGCCUUGGGGCUAAUACCCUCGAGGAAGGACAUCACCCACAGAAGAAGCACCGGCUAACUCCGUGCCAGCAGCCGCGGUAAUACGGAGGGUGCGAGCGUUAAUCGGAAUUACUGGGCGUAAAGCGCGCGUAGGCGGUCUGAUAAGCCGGUUGUGAAAGCCCCGGACUCAACCUGGGAACGGCAUCCGGAACUGUCAGGCUAGAGUGCAGGAGAGGAAGGUAGAAUUCCCGGUGUAGCGGUGAAAUGCGUAGAGAUCGGGAGGAAUACCAGUGGCGAAGGCGGCCUUCUGGACUGACACUGACGCUGAGGUGCGAAAGCGUGGGUAGCAAACAGGAUUAGAUACCCGGGUAGUC